AUUGAACGCUGGCGGCAUGCCUUACACAUGCAAGUCGAACGGCAGCAUGGGUGCUUGCAUCUGAUGGCGAGUGGCGAACGGGUGAGUAAUGCAUCGGAACGUACCCGGAAGUGGGGGAUAACGUAGCGAAAGUUACGCUAAUACCGCAUAUUCUGUGAGCAGGAAAGCGGGGGAUCGCAAGACCUCGCGCUUCCGGAGCGGCCGAUGUCGGAUUAGCUAGUUGGCGGGGUAAAGGCCCACCAAGGCAACGAUCCGUAGCGGGUCUGAGAGGAUGAUCCGCCACACUGGGACUGAGACACGGCCCAGACUCCUACGGGAGGCAGCAGUGGGGAAUUUUGGACAAUGGGCGCAAGCCUGAUCCAGCAAUGCCGCGUGUGUGAAGAAGGCCUGCGGGUUGUAAAGCACUUUCAGUGGGAAGAACAGGCCUGGGCUAAUACCCCAGGUGUCUGACGUUACCCACAGAAGAAGCACCGGCUAACUCCGUGCCAGCAGCCG
RNAcentral lists this ribosomal RNA (495 nucleotides) under uncultured bacterium. Its description in RNAcentral is "bacterial SSU rRNA". It matches the Rfam family "Bacterial small subunit ribosomal RNA", at positions 29 to 517 of the family's 1533-position model. The record is from RNAcentral.